GGAGACUCCAAAUCCCAGGGGCGCUUGCAGCUCCCAUGAUGCCGCAUAGUAACCCAAUAAAUUGGACGGCGCGAGGCUGCGGGUUUUUCGAAAUGCGAGUCAGCCGUCUCACCUGCGCACGAAUAAAAGAAGCGGCGAUGGCGCCUACGACUUAAGAUCCAGCAACUACAGUAUUUCAGAUGGCCAUGCUGUCCCACUUGAAGGUGUAACAGAAAUAUGAAACCAUCUAAUGAUGAUGAUGAUGAAUGAACCAAAGAUACAAAACAAUGUGGAUUCUGUCCUAGCCAUGAAACAGACCAGCUCUUCUCCCCUGGAUGUUUAUUAGAAGUUGUGUGAACUGUGCCUCCCUGCAAAUAUCCUGAACAGGAUUAUAGAGAACCGACGCCACAUCAUUUCUCCUAAAAGCUGCUGUACAUCCUCUAACUUAAAGGUCUUUUACAUGGUAAAGUGACUGAACUCCAGCUCUUCAGAUAGUGGACGGGGCAGUGUCCAGGUCUCGGUCAUGACAACACAGUUCACUGCACAAUGGCAGAUUGGAGACUGGAGUAUGGAAGAGGUGGAGAUGAGACUGAUGGCAGUGCAAACUCUACCCAGAACACCAGCUAUAAGACAACUGCAAAAUCUCCUCCUGGGUCUUUACUUUCCUAGUCUACAUCCUUCCAUAGAGAGAUUCCAGACAUACUUGGGCAAAAAAAUGAGGUCUUCUACCUUCUGGCCAAAGCUCUCCCAACAGUGUGACAUCUCUACCCAUAUGUGUUCAAAAACCAAAGGCACCUUUUCUCGAUCCCAAGAAAUAGGAGUAAUAACGGAACUGAGACUGUUGGAUGCAUUCUUUACAUUUGAGUGGAAUUUAUCCAUGAUAGAUCACAGCCUUGGCAAUUUCCCAGUUUUGGUACUUUGGCUGGACAUUUGCAAUCUAUCAUCUGAGAGUUUUAAGUCCUCAAGAACAAAGUUGGCCACCUGUUUUUACAUUUAAUGGCCCUUGCUGCCCAGUCUUUUGGAUUUUGCUGUUAUUCCCAGCCAGCAUCAGUAUUUUCAAACUGUUUGACAUCCCUCAUGGACCAAAACGAUUUUAAACAGUAUUCUGGUCAUCAUCACAUCGGUAACUGUUGAUUUAUAUAUUCAUUUAAAACCAAAAAAAAAAACUGCUGUCUUCCAGCUGUGACUUUUGUAAUGCGACUCCUUUUUUUUCUCGGCACCCACAGGCUGUUUGUAUUGUGUCUCGUAUUUGACUUCAUGCAACUGUGACUUACUAUAUUGUGAAGUGCCUCUGGUUCAUGGUGCCAAUUGUGUAUUACUGACUUCUAGGAACUUCUACAAGACGAUACUUGUGGCAGAUCAUGCAUUCCACAUGAGUUUGUAUUUGAUUCAGUUUGCUUUAUGUAAAGGACAAAAUCUAUUCUGUUGAUUUCAUCAGACUGAACCUCCUAAUUACAUAUUGAAGAUCAACUUUUUUUUUUUACUGCAUCUGGUAAUGAACCUUGCUGUUGCAUUUUGGACACUGGUUAUGAGACUACAAUUACCUUUUUGCUCUACCAACUUAACCUGAAAGAACAGAGCUGCAACAAGCACCCAUGUCUUUUUAUACGGGCUUUUUCAAAUAUUUUUGAAAUUCUUUGUAAAAUUGCGCUUUUGAUUUGGGAAGGCUUUGGUUAUAAUACUUGAAGACCUGUUUAUUGGUUUAAAUGGUAUAUGAAGCAUAGACACUGGAUCACAAAUUACCGGCAACCUUACCAUUUAAGGAAUCCCACUGAGAAACUAGCAACCGCACGUCAUUCAGUGAUGGGUUUUUAGUUCUUCCUUCCUUUACCCCUAUUGGAUCCAGACUGAUGAUCCCCACCUAUCACAGCGCUCUCUACAUUAUAUUUAAAAACCCAUCAAGUUACUGUAAUCAGUCCCUCCUGGUUGUAUUUGACUGUACUGGACAUUACUGCAGACAGCGGCUCUUAAUCUACUGCAAAUGAUCAUUUUAACUUGGUUCUGUUACUGUGCGUAUCAAUUAAGGUGAAGUACCCUUUAUAGUGCUGUACCUUUUAAUGGUCACUAAUAUGUCGACUUUCUCAAACGUGUGAAAUGACCACAGUUCUUGUACUACUUUGUUUGUGUAAUGGUGUAUUAUGAAUUUGAGUUGUAAUAAGCAAGGGACAAACCGGUUUGUUGUUUAAAGCACCUUGUAGUAAUUUGAUGCUGUUAUUGAUUGAUAACUUUUAAUUUUUUUUUUUUUUUUUCUGUUCUUGUUCAAACAAAAUUGUACUAAUGCUGGAUUUGUGCUAGAAAUGUUGAUACUGUAAGCUUCAGUAAGAAUCUGCAUUGUGAAAGUGUCUGUGAUCCAGUAGGACCCCAUAAUCCCUGGGUGAAUGUGAGGUUGUAAUUUAGUGGUGCUUCUUUCUCUCCUCCCUCCCCAUAUCCCAGUUUAAUAGUGUAACCUUGAGCUGCUCCAACUUGGGACAUUUGGAGAUGUCCAGUUUCUCUAAAGAGAAUAUUCUGAGGAACUGGGACUUCGACGGUAUCCUAGAUUGUGACCACCUCGUGUACAUCCCGCCGAUUCCAAACUUUGAAUCCUCAUUGGCGUAACGGACAAUCCAAAUGUUGAAUUUUUUGUUCCUUUUUAAACACAGCUUUGCCCUGGUAUAAACUCUCAAGCAAGAAAUGAGUUGCCGUCACAGACUUGCUGUCUUCGCACAGCCCACUGGAGAUAGGAGGCUAUGGAUUUCAGACGUCGGUUAAACAGGAGCACCCUUCUUGCCAUGGCUCUUGGCUCAGUUUUAUAAUGUGCUGGGCAAGGCUACUUCCAGCUCAUCAGAAGUUCUUUAAUUCCCUAAUCCAGUGACCCCAGCAAAUGAAGAAAAAUCCUUUUGGCUGAUUACCUGUGGCUGUCCUACAAUCUUCACCAUAACUGAAGACGAUGGAAUCGUGGAAGGAUGGGUAAGAAAAAUAA
Molecule: long non-coding RNA, 2938 nt
Organism: Erpetoichthys calabaricus (reedfish)
Lineage: Eukaryota; Metazoa; Chordata; Cladistia; Polypteriformes; Polypteridae
Exons: 6
Source: RefSeq, a predicted model, not a curated record